This 271-nucleotide ribosomal RNA is filed under the name unidentified marine bacterioplankton. RNAcentral describes it as "partial 16S ribosomal RNA". It matches the Rfam family "Bacterial small subunit ribosomal RNA", at positions 71 to 339 of the family's 1533-position model. The record is from RNAcentral.
AUUAAGAGCUUGCUCUUAUGAUUAGUGGCGCACGGGUGAGUAAUAUAUAGGUAAUGUACCUCUUAGUCUGGGAUAGCCACUGGAAACGGUGAUUAAUACCGGAUACUCCUUUUUCAUUUCAAGAUGAAUCGGGAAAAGUUUUUUCGCUAAAGAGAUCGGCCCUAUAUCCUAUCAGCUAGUUGGUGAGGUAAAUGGCUCACCAAGGCAAUGACAGGUAGCGGGUUUGAGAGGAUGAUCCGCCACACUGGUACUGGGACACGGACCAGACUCC